CCUACGGGAGGCAGCAGUAGGGAAUCUUCCACAAUGGGCGAAAGCCUGAUGGAGCAACGCCGCGUGGGUGAAGAAGGUCUUCGGAUCGUAAAACCCUGUUGUUAGAGAAGAAAGUUCGUGUGUGUAACUGUUCACGUUUCGACGUUAUCUAACCAGAAAGCCACGGCCAAGUCCGUGCCAGCAGCUGCGGGAAUACGUCGGUGGCAAGCGUUAUCCGGAGUUAUUGGGCGUAAAGGGAGCGCAGGCGGUCGUUUAAGUCUGAUGUGAAAGCCUUCGGCUUAACCGGAGUAGUGCAUUGGAAACUGGGAGACUGGAGUGCAGAAGAGGGAGGUGGAACUCGAGGUGUAGCGGUGAAAUGCGUAGAUAUAUGGAAGAACACCAAUGGCGAAGGCAGCUCGCUGGACUGUAACUGACGCUGAGGUUCGAAAGCGUGGGUAGCAAACAGGAUUAGAUACCCUAGUAGUC
This 465-nucleotide ribosomal RNA is filed under the name uncultured bacterium. Its description in RNAcentral is "partial 16S ribosomal RNA". It matches the Rfam family "Bacterial small subunit ribosomal RNA", at positions 338 to 795 of the family's 1533-position model. The record is from RNAcentral.